RNAcentral lists this ribosomal RNA (456 nucleotides) under uncultured bacterium. RNAcentral's name for it is "bacterial SSU rRNA". It matches the Rfam family "Bacterial small subunit ribosomal RNA", at positions 29 to 507 of the family's 1533-position model. The record is from RNAcentral.
AUUGAACGCUGGCGGCAUGCCUUACACAUGCAAGUCGAACGGUAACAGGUCUUCGGAUGCUGACGAGUGGCGAACGGGUGAGUAAUACAUCGGAACGUGCCCGAUCGUGGGGGAUAACGCAGCGAAAGCUGUGCUAAUACCGCAUACGAUCUACGGAUGAAAGCGGGGGAUCGCAAGACCUCGCGCGGACGGAGCGGCCGAUGGCAGAUUAGGUAGUUGGUGGGAUAAAAGCUUACCAAGCCGACGAUCUGUAGCUGGUCUGAGAGGACGACCAGCCACACUGGGACUGAGACACGGCCCAGACUCCUACGGGAGGCAGCAGUGGGGAAUCUUGCACAAUGGGGGAAACCCUGAUGCAGCGACGCGCGUGAACGAUGAAGCCCUUCGGGGUGUAAAGUUCUUUCGACGGGACGAUAAUGACGGUACCGGAGAAGAAGACUGCGGCUAACUAACGUG